GUAGGGCGCAAGCGUUGUCCGGAAUUAUUGGGCGUAAAGAGCUCGUAGGUGGCUGGUCGCGUCUGCCGUGAAAGCCCGCAGCUUAACUGCGGGUCUGCGGUGGAUACGGGCCGGCUAGAGGUAGGUAGGGGCAAGUGGAAUUCCUGGUGUAGCGGUGAAAUGCGCAGAUAUCAGGAGGAACACCGGUGGCGAAGGCGGCUUGCUGGGCCUUACCUGACGCUGAGGAGCGAAAGCGUGGGGAGCGAACAGGAUUAGAUACCCUGGUAGUCCACGCUGUAAACGUUGGGCGCUAGGUGUGGGGAUCUUCCACGAUCUCCGUGCCGGAGCUAACGCAUUAAGCGCCCCGCCUGGGGAGUACGGCCGCAAGGCUAAA
This 373-nucleotide ribosomal RNA is filed under the name uncultured bacterium. Its description in RNAcentral is "bacterial SSU rRNA". It matches the Rfam family "Bacterial small subunit ribosomal RNA", at positions 527 to 898 of the family's 1533-position model. The record is from RNAcentral.